Molecule: long non-coding RNA, 355 nt
Organism: Venturia canescens
Lineage: Eukaryota; Metazoa; Arthropoda; Insecta; Hymenoptera; Ichneumonidae
Exons: 3
Source: RefSeq, a predicted model, not a curated record
GAACAACAGAUAAGUUUAUCCGUUGGAUAUAAGAGAUUUCCAGAGGUCUGCUAGAGGUCAUGAAAAGAGCUUUUUUUAUGCUGGGUAUGGGAUACCAUACUGCCAAAAAAUUAAAAAUAUCGAAAUUGAUUAUUAUUCUCCAUGGAUUUGGCAUGUUUCUGUGAAAGUCGGUUGUAAAAAUUCCCUAUAGAUCGAAAGUUAUUAUGGAAAACGUGACUGCGCAACGAGAGGGCCUGGUCCGCACUUGAAAAUUUAAAUCUAUCAACAUUUCAAAAAGAAAUCGAUGCAGACGUGGAGCAACUUUUUUUUCGAAACACGUGCUUCGAGAAACGUGUUUUUUUAUGUUGUAAUUGAU